CCUACGGGCGGCAGCAGUGGGGAAUAUUGCACAAUGGGGGAAACCCUGAUGCAGCGACGCCGCGUGAGUGAAGAAGUAUUUCGGUAUGUAAAGCUCUAUCAGCAGGGAAGAAAUAGCGACCUUUGGGUUGCCAGACGGUACCUGAUUGAGAAGCCCCGGCUAACUACGUGCCAGCAGCCGCGGUAAUACGUAGGGGGCAAGCGUUAUCCGGAUGUACUGGGUGUAAAGGGAGCGUAGACGGCAGCGCAAGUCUGAAGUGAAAUGCCGGGGCUUAACCCCGGAACUGCGUGGGAAACUGUGCAGCUAGAGGGCAGGAGAGGUAAGUGGAAUGCCUAGUGUAGCGGUGAAAUGCGUAGAUAUUAGGAGGAACACCAGUGGCGAAGGCGGCUUACUGGACUGUAACUGACGUUGAGGCUCGAAAGCGUGGGGAGCAAACAGGAUUAGAUACCCUGGUAGUC
Molecule: ribosomal RNA, 458 nt
Filed under: uncultured bacterium
Lineage: Bacteria
Description: partial 16S ribosomal RNA
Rfam family: Bacterial small subunit ribosomal RNA
Source: RNAcentral